AGUGAACGCUGGCGGUAGGCCUAACACAUGCGAGUCGAACGGCAGCACAGUAAGAGCUUGCUCUUACGGGUGGCGAGUGGCGGACGGGUGAGGAAUACAUCGGAAUCUACUUUUUCGUGGGGGAGAACGUAGGUAAACUUACGCUAAUACCGCAUACGACCUACGGGUGAAAGCAGGGGAUCUUCGGACCUUGCGCGAUUGAAUGAGCCGAUGUCGGAUUAGCUAGUUGGCGGGGUAAAGGCCCACCAAGGCGACGAUCCGUAGCUGGUCUGAGAGGAUGAUCAGCCACACUGGAACUGAGCCACGGUCCAGACUCCUACGGGAGGCAGCAGUGGGGAAUAUUGGACAAUGGGCGCAAGCCUGAUCCAGCCAUACCGCGUGGGUGAAGAAGGCCUUCGGGUUGUAAAGCCCUUUUGUUGGGAAAGAAAAGCAGCAGGUUAAUACCCCGCUGUUCUGACGGUACCCAAAGAAUAAGCACCGGCUAACUUCGUG
RNAcentral lists this ribosomal RNA (492 nucleotides) under uncultured bacterium. RNAcentral's name for it is "partial 16S ribosomal RNA". It matches the Rfam family "Bacterial small subunit ribosomal RNA", at positions 29 to 507 of the family's 1533-position model. The record is from RNAcentral.